RNAcentral lists this ribosomal RNA (127 nucleotides) under uncultured Alteromonadaceae bacterium. Its description in RNAcentral is "partial 16S ribosomal RNA". It matches the Rfam family "Bacterial small subunit ribosomal RNA", at positions 355 to 486 of the family's 1533-position model. Lineage: Bacteria; Pseudomonadati; Pseudomonadota; Gammaproteobacteria; Alteromonadales; Alteromonadaceae. The record is from RNAcentral.
UGGGGAAUAUUGCACAAUGGGCGAAAGCCUGAUGCAGCCAUGCCGCGUGUGUGAAGAAGGCUCUAGGGUUGUAAAGCACUUUCAGUAGUGAGGAAAGGUUGACGGUUAAUACCCGUUAACUGUGACG